Microcebus murinus (gray mouse lemur) is the source of this 4210-nucleotide non-coding RNA. NCBI's taxonomy places the organism in Eukaryota, Metazoa, Chordata, Mammalia, Primates, Cheirogaleidae. The record is from RefSeq and is a predicted model, not a curated record.
AAAAAAAAAAAAAAAAAAUCAAAGCUAAUAGUCAUCAUUUGCAUGGGACAGGCUUCUCAAGUAGCUAUAGCCAUUGACUAUUCUGAUUGGCUGGUGCCCUUGUGAACCAGGUAGGAAACACAGCGUUUUGAAGACCACCCCUGCCCACAGCAACAAGAUAAGAUCAUGUUUACAUUCACAAAGUGUCUGGCCUGUGACCACUUCCUUGUGAGUGGCACAGCCAGGAUUAGAACACUCAAGGAGCUUACAAUACAGUCCGAAGAGGAAGGUAUCAAGAGUGAUCUGAAAUAAUUCCAGGGUGACAUGAAAACAAGCCCCGAUGGUGUGGGCCAGAAAGCAGGCACAGCACGUGGGUAAAAUGAAAAAUAAGGGAAAGAUGGUCCAGUCCUCAAAGCAAGCUUGGUGAAGGAUGGCGUUUUAUGGUGGGCCUUCAACAGCUGGUAUAGGAAUUUCCUUUAAGCUGGCCUUAAAGGAAAUUUAGGAUUUGGACUGGGCUUCAGCUGUGGUUGUUAUGAGAAGAGACUGGAGACAGAAUCCCUAGGUUCCAAACUCAGCUUCCCAUGUAUAAAGUGAGGAUGAUAACAAUGGUAUCUGCUCAAAGGUUGUUCUGAAGAUUAAGAGAUAAUCUAGGCAAUGCACCUUACGUAGAACGUGCUCAGCGAAUGGUUGGUGUUAGGAUUUCAUUUCUCUUUGCACCUAGUGAGUGGUAAAUAUCCUUCUGCAGAGCCUCUUACUUCCCGCAUGUAACAUUCAGGAUUGCUGGUUGCAAGCAACAGAAAUCACCUCUGGCUGGUGAGGAUCUGUGAAUAGCUCAAAAGACAAGGAAUUUAUUGAAAGGCAAUUCACAGCAUCACCAGAAAGGCUGAAAAAACCAGAUAAUAAAAUGGGCAGGAAGCAAGGGGGGACUGGGCAACCAGGACCCCAGAUCAAGCGACACUGAGGAACGCCCCUGUCCAGAGUACUGCCACGGGUGCCGGACAGCAAUGCCACAUGGGUGGUGGGUACCACUGUCCCACCACCUCGGGCACCGCUUUGCACACUCCAAACACCGCCUCUAUCAUCUUGGGUUUCUGUUACAUGCGGCCAAACUCAUUUCCCAACAAACAUCGGUCAUCAGACUUGAAAUCCAGCCACUGCUCUCAGCGUCAACGCACACUCCUGCCCCCUGGAAAGCUAACAAAUUAUCUCUGUGUGGUGGGACUUCGGCAAUUCUCAAGUGGACCUUUCUCCCUUGCCUCAACCGUCCUCUACCCACAUCCUAAAGAUCCCUGAAGGCAUCAAUCCCUGUUAAAACAUAAAUAAACCCCAGAGGGGUGACACUAUGUUAUGAUCAGGUUUUGACACUGUGAAAAAACAGACUUAAGAACAUUCUGGUAGGAAGGCAAAAAAAAAAAAAAAAAAAAGGAUUUAGAAUGAACAUAUGGUACCACCAAAUACCAUUUGCCUAAAACUGGCCUGAGGGAGGCUAGAGUGAGACCAAAUACUGCCAUCGUGGUCCCCUCCCUGUUUUGACUACCCGAGUUUUCAUGUGCUGAUCGUGUUUGAGGUUGGCCUGACCACCUUGGAUCCCAGGCAGAACCCCCACUCUGCAGAGAAGAGACACCUGUGUCGUCAGGAUCUGGUCACUUUCAUCGUCUGCGCUUGGCUCAGCAUCCCCUUAACUUAGUGAAGGAAUCUGUAAGUCCUAUCCGCGGCUUUGGGGCAAUGUUUUAAAAGCCCUUUGGAGACCGAAAGCAAGAUACAAUCACCCUAUGCCAAAAAAGCUAAUGAGGAAGGCCACCUCUGAUGGUUUUUAUGUUGCUGUUAAGUCACAAGCUCCCACUCUGCUAUCCACACAAUGAGGUGCGACUCAAACAAAAGCAAACCGUCAACAGGGCCAGCCUGAGCUGGGAGCCGAAGGAAGCCGGUGUGGAGACCCGGCGACAGGUGCUUUCUCCACUCUGGUCCCACGGUGCUUUGGGAAGGAUCCUGAGAACAGCAAUGAGGACAGGAGCCGCCGCUGCAGCCAGCAGGAAUGGGCUCACUCGAAGGAGCAAGACGGUAUAGACAGCUCCUCAGCAAGGCGGCCGUUCAAGAAGGGCACCUGCCAUGUAUCUGCAGGAUGCAGGGUUAUGGCGGGAAACUCGGGAGACUCCCCUGAUUCUGUGUGGUGCCAGAGAUUGGUGUCUUCUUGUGGAUCUUGUGAUCGGUGUCCCUCAGUGACCCCUCCAGACUAAAGGGAUCUGGGGGACCCCUGGCCAGCACUGUAGCAAGCAGCAGUGUCACUUUCCACACCCUGCCACCACCGUGCCAUCAUCUUGGUGACACCGCACACCAGCAGGGGAGUUUGAUUAAAGCCUCAGUCUCGCUGGAGUCCGUGGAGGGGGCCAAUGAAUGGUACCCCUCUUUGCCUGUGAUCGGAACAAAUCGAGCAGUGAAGCAGAGGAGUGGCAGAUGGAAGCUAAGAUAAAAUCUUUGUAACUAAUAAAGACCAACCAGAAGGGUACUGUUCACAGUAAUGGCCCCAGAGUUAGGCAGAACUGCUCUUCCAGGCACUGGCCAUGCUCAGCUGGGGCAGGGGCCCUGCUCGGUGUAGACGGCGGAAAAGAACACCUGCUUCUUGCAGGCAGCUGCUUCUCCAGAGGAAAACAGGAAGGGUGAGGCAAUACGUCCAGUGUAUUUUUCCUAACUGUAUCCAUCAGUUAAGUCACUCCACCCAGCCCCCUGGAGGAAGUGAGGGUCCAGAAUGCCACCCCUCCUACCUGGGAAGAAAUAUCAGGAGUGGAGAACAAGCUCCGCAAUAUUGUUGCAGAGGUGAGGAAACUGACACAGAGAAAAAGUAAGAGAUUUUCUCGUGAUACCCAAUGCACGAAAGGUGAUGGCAAGUCUCUGGACCACCGAGCCCAGCGGUGCUGUGUCAUCUAAGCACAUCCGCUCCCAGGGGCAGGAGGGCUUCAACUCAAGACCACAUUUGUGGUUCAAUGUCAGUUGAACAGUUUAAGUCACUAAAAACCUGUGUAUCUGCACAUUUUCCCUCUUGUGCAAUUCUCUCUCUUACUGCACCUUCACCCUGUAACACACAUUGUCUUUGCCCUCCUUCCUAUUUUUAUUCUCAACUACAAUGUUUGUUUUUUUAUUUUAUAUUUAUAUAGUAAACUAUAUAUUCUUAUAAGAAGUCAUACAUCCCACUAAAAGAUGGACAAAUAAAAUGCAUCCUCUGUUUUUUCGUUCACUCUUUAAAAAACCGAUUUUGAAAUUUUAUAAAAACAUUCCCUAAACACCUAUUACCUGGGCUUUAAAUUUUAGAAUCAAAAGAUAAAAUUUAAUUUCCAAAGAUUUAACAAGUUUUCAUCCGCCCUCCCAAAUGAAAUGUACACAUUUAUUAUAGAAUAGAUUUUCUUUUUAAGCUAAGGUUGUUGAUUCAUAAAUUGUUACAUUCUAUUUUUCAACAGUGAUGAUUUAAACUUAUUUUCAUGUCUUGCUGAGCUAAUUCACAGUGUUAAGCAUUCACAGAAUGAAGCAUUUGACCCACGUUAAUUCUGUUUUAUUUCUAUAAAUAUAUUCUAGAUACAAAAUCAUUAAAUGCUUUACUUCGCAACUUUAUAUGCCACGUAAAAAAAUAUUGGCAGUUAGUAAAUUUUGACGAAAGAUCCUCACUAAACACAUCUUCCAAAGGCUCUGUCUGUUGGCAUCUGCAGCUAAGUUUAAUCUCCUUUAUAUCCUACUGCCUCUUGAGAGUGCAAGGGAUUUUUUAUUUAUUUAUUUUUUUUUGGUUCUUGUUUUGGUUAGUGUUUUCUCCCAGAAAUAUCAACUGUUGCUGUCAUUCUUACCAAAAGAGGUUGUCUCAUUGUUGAUUCACACGAGCCAAGCUUAUUUCUUGCAAAAUAUUUUUUUAAUAAUCCAAAGUCCAACCACAAGACCAGUUGUCAUUAGUUGGGCCUUGAAUAUAGGAAGUAAAAGGGACGGAAAAUGAGGCCAUUCAUUUUAUUUUCUAUGUUUUCUUUAAUUGUUCUACUUUUUGAUUUACAGAGCAUGAACUGUAAAGAAACUAGGGAGGAGGUUUUUUUAAGUUCUGUUUUGUUUUUUUUUCAGUGUCAAAUAAUGUAACAUUCAUUGAAAAAAAAAGAAAUUAAACAUUUCGUUCUUAUUAUUCAUACAGAUUAAGUCAAACACUUGAUUACAUUAAUUCAUUUCUUCAUUCAUUCAUUCAACAAAUAUUUACUUGGUACCC